AUUGACUAAAGCCAAAAAGAGGCUAAUCACUGUUAAUGAUUUUAUUGGGUUCCCUAGUCGUUU
Molecule: transfer RNA, 63 nt
Filed under: Echinogammarus berilloni
Lineage: Eukaryota; Metazoa; Arthropoda; Malacostraca; Amphipoda; Gammaridae
Description: tRNA-Asn
Source: RNAcentral